RNAcentral lists this ribosomal RNA (253 nucleotides) under uncultured bacterium. Its description in RNAcentral is "partial 16S ribosomal RNA". It matches the Rfam family "Bacterial small subunit ribosomal RNA", at positions 524 to 776 of the family's 1533-position model. The record is from RNAcentral.
UACGUAGGGAGCGAGCGUUGUUCGGAUUUACUGGGCGUAAAGGGCAGGUAGGCGGGUGUGUCAGUCGGUUGUGAAAUCCUCUGGCUCAACCAGAGAAUUGCAGCCGAUACUGCACAUCUUGAGUCCAGCAGAGGGAAUUGGAAUCCUAGGUGUAGCGGUGAAAUGCGUAGAUAUCUAGGAGAACACCAGUGGCGAAGGCGGAUUCCUGGGCUGGUACUGACGCUGAGCUGCGAAAGCGUGGGGAGCGAACAGG